UUAGUAGCAGGAAGGGUUCACAUGGCCAAGUACCUAGUGUGGGAACAAUGUGGACAUACACAUCUCAGUCUCAUCCCCAAAAAAUACGAUAUAACAGCUUCUACCUCAUUGGUCGGUAUGGAGAUAAAAUAAGUAAUGAAACAAAUGCACUUAACAUAGUGUCAGCCACAUAAUAAAUGCUCAACAAAUAGUGGGUGUUACUUGUUAUUACUGAAACAAGACAUACACAUUUGUGAAGAAAAUUGUAUAUAUGUUAGAGUAAUCCUAGAAAGGCACAUUCCUUCUGUUCCUUUGGCUAACAUUUCUGAGCUUUUUACAAAAAGAUACAGUGGGCUCCUGGGAAAAGUCCUUAAUGGAGCUUGAAAUCACCCAUCUGCCCUAGGCAAUUGCUGGAUCCAGUUUCAGAUCAGAGGGAGACAAAACAAAGUUCAUUUUCUGACGUCUCAGGAAUGCCCUUGUAGACAUGGAGCUCUCUAAAGAAAAUGACUAAGAGAGACACAGAGGAAGACCUGAGCUUUUUCGCUGGACCUAAAAGGAUUGAAUCCUAUCUCAGCUACUUUCUAGCUGUGCAAACUUGGGCAAGUACGUACCACCCUGGAACUCAAUUUGCUCACCUGUAAUAUGAAGCACUGUAGCAGGACUUAUUCCAGCUCUCGGGGAAUUGCAUGAGAUAAAGCAGAGAAGGCACCCAGCACAGUGCCUCAGUCCCUGCCAGCUGUCAUUUCUGUUCUCCAGUUGGAGGUUUGAGAGUGUUGAACGAUUUUUAGUCACCUGGAGACUGGCUAGCUCUCCCUUUCCCUUGCAAGCUACGGUAAGGACCGCCCACCUGGGCUUCAGAGCAAAGGAAGCCUUGGAGAAACUGGAGGGCUAUGGCUAGAAGGGAAGUUCAGCUUCCAAACCGUCACUUAAGAAGUGAUCCCACUCUGAGUCCUGUUGCUUUUCUCGUCUUAUUUCUAGGCACCACUAAAGCAUGACUCAAUGCUAUAGCCAUUCUUGGGUCGUGCCUAAGCC
Molecule: long non-coding RNA, 1011 nt
Filed under: Sus scrofa (pig)
Lineage: Eukaryota; Metazoa; Chordata; Mammalia; Artiodactyla; Suidae
Description: lncRNA (ENSSSCG00035035255.1)
Source: RNAcentral